Molecule: long non-coding RNA, 617 nt
Organism: Clupea harengus (Atlantic herring)
Lineage: Eukaryota; Metazoa; Chordata; Actinopteri; Clupeiformes; Clupeidae
Exons: 3
Source: RefSeq, a predicted model, not a curated record
GAUGGGCCAGUGGGUAACAGAGGACUGCAGGGCAUCGAGGGCGCGAUGGGUGUGAUAGGAACCACUGGUCAAAAUGGCUUCCGAGGAGACCCGGGCCCGAGGGGGGAUGAUGGAGACAAGGGGGAUUCUGGACCUAAAGGAGACAAAGUAAAGAUUCUGUUACACCGUAUAGAUAGAUUUUCUCAGCAGAGACCUAAAUCUAAUCAUUUAUCACACCAGAGAGUGAUACCUGUUGCUACUUUGCAGCAGUGGAGAGGUAAAAUGUUAUAUGAGAGAUAGCACACACUUAAGUCUGAAAGUAACUCCAAAGAGAUCAGUGACACCAGAGCCAGACACCAGAACAAUAGUCAGCAUUUAUGACUGGAAUGGAUCUGAUAUAUUUUUCUUAAAGAGUUUUGCUCACAUGAUUACAAGUACUUGGCAGCUUGAUCAUUCCAGUGUUAAAAAUGUCAAAACCAAUACAGUCGCAUAAUAUGGAUGACCAUGCAAUAGCACUUUCUUUUUCUCUCUCUUCUCCUGGCUAGGGUCCUAAUGGUGUCUCUGGUGUAAUGGGACCUCAAGGAGAGAGGGGUCAGAUUGGCCUUCUUGGCCCAUCAGGUCAGAGAGGUCGACCGGGG